RNAcentral lists this ribosomal RNA (425 nucleotides) under uncultured bacterium. Its description in RNAcentral is "partial 16S ribosomal RNA". It matches the Rfam family "Bacterial small subunit ribosomal RNA", at positions 354 to 796 of the family's 1533-position model. The record is from RNAcentral.
GUGGGGAAUAUUGGACAAUGGGCGCAAGCCUGAUCCAGCCAUGCCGCGUGAGUGAUGAAGGACUUAGGGUUGUAAAGCUCUUUUGUCCGGGAAGAUAAUGACUGUACCGGAAGAAUAAGCCCCGGCUAACUUCGUGCCAGCAGCCGCGGUAAUACGAAGGGGGCUAGCGUUGCGCGGAAUCACUGGGCGUAAAGGGCGCGUAGGCGGACUUUUAAGUCGGAGGUGAAAGCCAAGGGCUCAACCCUGGAAUAGCCUUCGAUACUGGGAGUCUUGAGUUCGGCAGAGGUUGGUGGAACUGCGAGUGUAGAGGUGAAAUUCGUAGAUAUUCGCAAGAACACCGGUGGCGAAGGCGGCCAACUGGUCCGAAACUGACGCUGAGGCGCGAAAGCGUGGGGAGCAAACAGGAUUAGAUACCCCGGUAGUCC